AUGUGCCAGAAGGACCAUAUCCAGGGUCACACCGCUGCGACUCCUCCUCUGCCAGGCGGCGCGCUCUCCCCGGCUCGGACACGGGCUGCGAGGCAUGUCGCUGGCCGCGCGGGCAGGCCGCUGCCGGGGGUCGUGGUGCCGUGUCUUUGGACAUCCGGCACGCGGACGUUUUCCGGCUCCCCGCACGCCUCAUGCACGGGGCACAGCCGGGCGAGGGGACGGCGGGGCGGCUUUGCCCACGGCCGGUCCCGGCAGCGUGGUCCCGACGGCCAGACGGCAGCAGCCGCCCAUCCCGCAGCGCAGGCGGCCCCGCGCUCCCCGGCCAGCCCACGACAAGCRCCGCUUUCUCGGCUUUUCCCCCCACAGCAGCCUGCCCCACACGUCCUGCCCCACAGCGGCCUGCUGCCCAGCACCGGCCCCACAGCGGCCUGCCUCACAGUGAGCUGCCCCACAGCGGCCUGCCCCACAGUGGCCUGUCCCACAGCAGCCUUUCUCACAGCGACCUGCCCCACAGCGACCUGCCCCACAGCAAGCUGCCUCAAAACAAGCUGCCCCACAGCGACUUGCCCCACAGCAGCCUUCCUCACAGCGACCUGCCCCACAGUGACCUGCCCCACAGCAAGCUGCCCCACAGCGGCCUGCCCUACAGCGAGCUGCCUCACAGCAUCGGCCCCACAGCGCCUGCCUCACAGUGAGCUGCCUCACAGCGGCCUGCCCCCCAGCGCCUGCCCCCCAGCGCCUGCCCCCCAGCAAGCUGCCUCACAGCAACCUGCCCCACAGCAACCUGCCCCMCAGCGCCUGCCCCACAGCCGCCCAGCGGCCUUCCCGCCCUGGGGGCCCCCAGCGCCAGCUGCCCAGCGACAAGAGCCGGAGCGGCCCUCCAGGCCUGGAGGCCGGGCGGCGCCGAAGCCCCUCGGACACAGGGACGUGGGACACGGACGGUGGCAGCAGGUAGGAAAAGCCCUGGGGGCGGAUUUGGGGCAGGGAGCGAGGCCCCGGGGUGGAGCGGCCGCCGCGAGGCAGGGCCCGCCAGGCCAGGGCCAGCGCAGCCGGAGCGGGAGCCGGAGCUGGAGCCGGGGCGUCCCGGGCCUCGCUGAGCUGCCGGGGGCGGCCGGGCGGCUCCGCGCACCGCGGAGGCAGGGGGACGCGGAGCACCUGUGUCCGGCGCCCGCGGAAGGAAGCGGCGCCAGCCCGCGGCCACCCUUGGGGCGAGGACCUGCCGGCAGGGCUUCUGCGUGGAAGCUCUCCUGGGAAGAGGCCAGGAAGGCGGUUUUCAAAUUUUGUGGUGACCGAAAUCACAAAAAGGGGACAAAGAAGGGAAAGGGGCUAUUCCUUUUUUUAUUUUGCUUUAUGCUUUGCGAAACUCAGUUUGGUUCUAAUUAG
Molecule: long non-coding RNA, 1383 nt
Filed under: Apteryx haastii (Great spotted kiwi)
Lineage: Eukaryota; Metazoa; Chordata; Aves; Apterygiformes; Apterygidae
Description: lncRNA (ENSAHAG00000010399.1)
Source: RNAcentral